GAUGACUCCGGGGCAGCGGCCGGGGUAAGACUGGGGUGGCCAGGGGUGUUCGGAAGUACCUGGCGGAAAGGGCGCGUAGGCGGUUUGCUAAGUCGAAUGUGAAAACUCUGGGCUUAACCCAGAGCCUGCAUUCAAUACUGGCAGGCUAGAGUGCUGGAGGGGAUAGCGGAAUUCCUGGUGUAGCGGUGAAAUGCGUAGAUAUCAGGAGGAACACCGGUGGCGAAGGCGGCUAUCUGGACAGAGUCUGACGCUGAGGCGCGAAAGCUAGGGGAGCAAACAGGAUUAGAUACCCGAGUAGUC
This 300-nucleotide ribosomal RNA is filed under the name uncultured Sporotomaculum sp. RNAcentral describes it as "bacterial SSU rRNA". It matches the Rfam family "Bacterial small subunit ribosomal RNA", at positions 496 to 795 of the family's 1533-position model. The record is from RNAcentral. Lineage: Bacteria; Bacillati; Bacillota; Clostridia; Eubacteriales; Desulfallaceae.